GCGUACUACUUCGCGGCAACAGUUACGACAUUACAACAGCAACAGUAAUCGGAGGAGGCUUUCCCAUCACGCUUUGCCGCCGUUAUAAUUCUUAAUUUUGCUAUUCCUCUUCAGUACGUCGUUUAUACGGAUAGAGUGGGAUAUAAUGUGACCUGCGACUGACUGGCGACCAGUCCAGGGUGCAGUUUGGUUUUCAUGUGGAGUCAUCUGAGGCUCCUGCUCACCUUGUGCCCGACAGGAUAUACAGUGUGGAAAAAGGAUGGUUCGAUGAAUGGAUCUGCUGAGAUAUAUGGUUCUCCUUCCGCCAUGCCAAAGACCGUGCCUCAAGUCGGCUGUGAUCACAAUGACAGCGGCUGGAAACGCCCAUUUUUAAAUGCGUCAAACUGUUAAAAACUUUUUUUUCUAGACCGCAUCCAUGUAAAGCUUGCUGCACUAAACUUGACCUUAGCACAAUAAAUAAAUAAAUAAAUAAAUAAAUAGAUAAAUCCCUAAAUUGCUUUUAUUUAUUCAUUGUCAUUACUCAUUACAUUAUACUCAUCAUUAGUUUUUUCUCACAUAUAUAUAUUCAUUGGAUUGGACCUUUCGCUUCUGUACCGGUCAGUUCAAUUUAAAAGUUAUGUUUUUGCUUAAUGCACAACUCUCAAUGAGACAUGGCCAGGACAUCCCUCUCUUACUCUUACUUAAUGAAUAAAAUGUAUUUUUUAAUACAUGUAACAAUGUAAUCAAACCCGUCCUUAGUAAUUCUUUGUAUUGAAAUACAGAUCACAAUGUUUUCACCUUGGCAGAGGUUUGCGUCUGUUGACCUUUACCAUUGGAGUUUUCUAAUGUUAGUUAUGGAGAUUGCAUCUGUUCAUAUACAAAGUGAAACAGUGAUGUGGCGCAUAAUAUCCUCUGGUCAUAAUGCUGCAGAUAGAAAAGCAAGAUAUUCCACCCACACACCAGCUGCAGGCAGACAUGAAUCUCAUUCAAUACUUUCAUCUUGUUGCUGUAGCAACGUUGUUUACUCACAUGAUCAUUUUACCCUUACUUUUCUGUGAUCUUUUUCAACUGUUCUAUUACAUUAAGAGCAAUUGUAAUUUAUUUUCUUACUUUCUAAAUCAAUAAAUGAGCUGCGUGGAUUAUGCUCGAAAGAAAAAAAAUAAACUAUAGAAAAAUACACACAGGACUGUUAAAUUAAGCUGAAGACAAGCACAGGACUCACAGGCAGACACAAUGAGGUCGGUACUGUUUUA
This is a long non-coding RNA of Hippocampus zosterae (dwarf seahorse), 1232 nucleotides long. RefSeq lists it as uncharacterized. The record is from RefSeq and is a predicted model, not a curated record. Lineage: Eukaryota; Metazoa; Chordata; Actinopteri; Syngnathiformes; Syngnathidae. The transcript has 3 exons.